CAAUAGCGUAUAUUAAUGCUGUUGCAGUUAAAAAGCUCGUAGUUGAAUUUUGGAGUUUUGCUAGGGUUUGGUCCGCCUCGAAAGGCGAGUACUAACUCUAGCGCUCUAUAUUUGGUAACAAUGUACAUGGGUGCUUAACUGUGCGCAUGUUUUGGGAAGGGAAACUGACUCAAAGGUGGGGAAUGUUGUGGGGAUUGUUCUGGGAGACCAGGGCGAUUUUGCAUGGCAUUUUCGGCAACAUUUUACCUAUUUUACUGUGAAAAAAUUAGAGUGUUCAAAGCAGGACUUAGGUCCAUUGUAUAGUUCAGCAUGGGAUAAUAGAAGAAGACAGCUGUCUUAUUUUGUUGGUUUUUUGAGACAAUUGUAAUGAUUAAAGGGGACAGUUGGGGACGUUUGUAUUGUGGCGUCAGCGGUGAAAUGCUAAGAUUGCCAUAAGACAAACUUCUGCGAAAGCAUUCGUCUAGGAUGUUUUCAUCAA
Molecule: ribosomal RNA, 478 nt
Filed under: uncultured eukaryote
Lineage: Eukaryota
Description: partial 18S ribosomal RNA
Rfam family: Eukaryotic small subunit ribosomal RNA
Source: RNAcentral